RNAcentral lists this ribosomal RNA (1367 nucleotides) under uncultured bacterium. Its description in RNAcentral is "bacterial SSU rRNA". It matches the Rfam family "Bacterial small subunit ribosomal RNA". The record is from RNAcentral.
GAGUUUGAUCCUGGCUCAGGACGAACGCUGGCGGCGCGCCUAACACAUGCAAGUCGAACGAGCGAGAGAGAGCUUGCUUUCUCAAGCGAGUGGCGAACGGGUGAGUAACGCGUGAGGAACCUGCCUCAAAGAGGGGGACAACAGUUGGAAACGACUGCUAAUACCGCAUAAGCCCACAGCUCGGCAUCGAGCAGAGGGAAAAGGAGCAAUCCGCUUUGAGAUGGCCUCGCGUCCGAUUAGCUAGUUGGUGAGGUAAUGGCCCACCAAGGCGACGAUCGGUAGCCGGACUGAGAGGUUGAACGGCCACAUUGGGACUGAGACACGGCCCAGACUCCUACGGGAGGCAGCAGUGGGGAAUAUUGCACAAUGGGGGAAACCCUGAUGCAGCGACGCCGCGUGGAGGAAGAAGGUCUUCGGAUUGUAAACUCCUGUUGUUGAGGAAGAUAAUGACGGUACUCAACAAGGAAGUGACGGCUAACUACGUGCCAGCAGCCGCGGUAAAACGUAGGUCACAAGCGUUGUCCGGAAUUACUGGGUGUAAAGGGAGCGCAGGCGGGAAGACAAGUUGGAAGUGAAAUCUAUGGGCUCAACCCAUAAACUGCUUUCAAAACUGUUUUCUUGAGUAGUGCAGAGGUAGGCGGAAUUCCCGGUGUAGCGGUGGAAUGCGUAGAUAUCGGGAGGAACACCAGUGGCGAAGGCGGCCUACUGGGCACCAACUGACGCUGAGGCUCGAAAGUGUGGGUAGCAAACAGGAUUAGAUACCCUGGUAGUCCACACCGUAAACGAUGAUUACUAGGUGUUGGAGGAUUGACCCCUUCAGCGCCGCAGUUAACACAAUAAGUAAUCCACCUGGGGAGUACGACCGCAAGGUUGAAACUCAAAGGAAUUGACGGGGGCCCGCACAAGCAGUGGAGUAUGUGGUUUAAUUCGACGCAACGCGAAGAACCUUACCAAGUCUUGACAUCCUGCGACGCACAUAGAAAUAUGUGUUUCCUUCGGGACGCAGAGACAGGUGGUGCAUGGUUGUCGUCAGCUCGUGUCGUGAGAUGUUGGGUUAAGUCCCGCAACGAGCGCAACCCUUACUGUCAGUUACUACGCAAGAGGACUCUGGCAGGACUGCCGUUGACAAAACGGAGGAAGGUGGGGAUGACGUCAAAUCAUCAUGCCCUUUAUGACUUGGGCUACACACGUACUACAAUGGCGUUAAACAAAGAGAAGCAAGACCGCGAGGUGGAGCAAAACUCAGACACAACGUCCCAGUUCGGACUGCAGGCUGCAACUCGCCUGCACGAAGUCGGAAUUGCUAGUAAUCGUGGAUCAGCAUGCCACGGUGAAUACGUUCCCGGGCCUUGUACACACCGCCCGUC